RNAcentral lists this ribosomal RNA (433 nucleotides) under uncultured bacterium. Its description in RNAcentral is "partial 16S ribosomal RNA". It matches the Rfam family "Bacterial small subunit ribosomal RNA", at positions 29 to 507 of the family's 1533-position model. The record is from RNAcentral.
AGCGAACGCUGGCGGCAGGCAUAACACAUGCAAGUCUAACGAACUCUUCGGCGUUAGCCGCGUACGGGUGAGAAACUCGUGGGAACGUGCCUUUUGGAUCGGAAUAACCCAGUGAAACUUGUUCUAAUACCGACUGUGCCCUUCGGGGGAAAGAUUCAUCGCCAUUAGAGCGUCCCUCGUCUAAUUAGCUCGUUGCUGUGGUAACGGCUUACCACGGCGACGACCAGUACCUGGACUGGGAGAAGGGCCUGCCUCACUGGAACUGAGACACGGCCCACUCUCCUACGGAACACUGCGGUGGAGAAUCUUGCGCAAUGGGCGAAAGCCUGACGCAGCCAUGCCGCGAGAAUCAUGAGUGUCUUAGGAUUGUAACAUUCUUUCACACGAGACGAUAAUGGCGGUACCCAGAGAAGAAGCCCCUUCUAACUUCGUC